AGUUUUAUAGAUGAGUACACAGAAAAUCAGAGGUUUAACUAACAUGAUCAAGAUCUCCUAACCAGUUAAGUGGUGAAGUUGGAAUUUUUACCCAAGUCUGUUUGCUAAAUGUAUGCUCUUCAUCAUUACAUCUACAUAGGACCAGCUACAUAACUUGUAGUGCCCAGUGCAAAAUGAAAAUGCACCCUAGGCUGUGAUCCUGGAACUGAACAUCUGAUGAGUCAAUACAGGGCACGGAGUAGUGCUCUUCUCCCUGAACCAUGAGACCUGCAUCUCAGGUUGCAGAAAACAUGUGGAGCAGAGGUACAGAGCCUUCACUUUGCUGCAGCAACAAAUAAAGACUUUGAAGUCCUCCAUUGGAUCUUCUCGGAAGAUGAGGGAAAUGAGAGAGUGUGGAGAGAGAUUUUGUAAGUCCGGUCUGGAAGUGGUCAUUGUUCAGAAUCCAGCCACGUGGGUACAUGGAACUGUAAGAAUAUGUUCUGUGGACACUACAGAUGCAGAUUAAAUCACCUGCAAAGUGAAUCUGUCAGCCCUAACAAUAAGAAUAGCUCUUUUAUGAUGAGCAGGUGAGACCAGGUAAUUACCGAAGAAAGAGAGUGAUGUGUUCAUUGAAGUCUACUCAUGGAGGAAAGAAGGCUAUUUCAACAUGGGAAACUGAAAUCGGGCAUAUCCCUGCGGAAGAAGCUGUCUCUUAGCGAAGAAUAAAACUGUGGACUGACCCCCACCCAUUUGCGAAGAAAGUACUGGGUCUUCAGCUUUCAUUGUUCAGCCGGUGGUCUUUGUGGACAACACCAGGGGCCCCUCCUGCUGAAGACUGUCUGGACUUCCUGAUUUUCACUCCUGUAUAAACCCCCUCCCCCAUUACUACCUUUGUCUCCUUGGGGAAAAAAAAUGUUUUUCACUUAAGCAAAAUAAUAACUACCCAGUAUUUGUUUCU
RNAcentral lists this long non-coding RNA (937 nucleotides) under Homo sapiens (human). RNAcentral's name for it is "cancer susceptibility 16". The record is from RNAcentral. Lineage: Eukaryota; Metazoa; Chordata; Mammalia; Primates; Hominidae.